GAUGAAGAACGUAGCGAAAUGCGAUACGUAAUGUGAAUUGCAGAAUUCAGUGAAUCAUCGAAUCUUUGAACGCACAUUGCGCCCGCUAGUAUUCUGGCGGGCAUGCCUGUCCGAGCGUCAUUUCAACCCAUCAAGCUUAGCGCUUGUGUUGGAGCCCUGCGGCCGCCGCAGCCUCCUAAAAUCAGUGGCGGGCUCGCUAUCACGCUGAGUGCAGUAGUAUUCUUCUCACUCCUGUGGUGUAGCGGGUAACCAGCCGUAAACCCCCCCAUCUAUAAAGGUUGACCUCGGAUCAGGUAGGAAUACCCGCUGAACUUAAGCAUAUCAAUAAGCGAAGGA
This 336-nucleotide unclassified non-coding RNA is filed under the name soil metagenome. Its description in RNAcentral is "partial contains 5.8S ribosomal RNA, internal transcribed spacer 2, and large subunit ribosomal RNA". The stretch from base 1 to 120 matches the Rfam family "5.8S ribosomal RNA", at positions 35 to 154 of the family's 154-position model. The record is from RNAcentral.